RNAcentral lists this ribosomal RNA (468 nucleotides) under uncultured bacterium. RNAcentral's name for it is "partial 16S ribosomal RNA". It matches the Rfam family "Bacterial small subunit ribosomal RNA", at positions 28 to 507 of the family's 1533-position model. The record is from RNAcentral.
GACGAACGCUGGCGGCGUGCUUAACACAUGCAAGUCGAACGGAAAGGCCCUGCUUUUGUGGGGUGCUCGAGUGGCGAACGGGUGAGUAACACGUGAGUAACCUGCCCUUGACUUUGGGAUAACUUCAGGAAACUGGGGCUAAUACCGGAUAGGAGCUCCUGCUGCAUGGUGGGGGUUGGAAAGUUUCGGCGGUUGGGGAUGGACUCGCGGCUUAUCAGCUUGUUGGUGGGGUAGUGGCUUACCAAGGCUUUGACGGGUAGCCGGCCUGAGAGGGUGACCGGCCACAUUGGGACUGAGAUACGGCCCAGACUCCAACGGGAGGCAGCAGUGGGGAAUAUUGCACAAUGGGCGGAAGCCUGAUGCAGCAACGCCGCGUGCGGGAUGACGGCCUUCGGGUUGUAACCCGCUUUCGCCUGUGACGAAGCGUGAGUGACGGUAAUGGGUAAAGAAGCACCGGCUAACUACGUG